Molecule: long non-coding RNA, 1505 nt
Organism: Jaculus jaculus (lesser Egyptian jerboa)
Lineage: Eukaryota; Metazoa; Chordata; Mammalia; Rodentia; Dipodidae
Exons: 4
Source: RefSeq, a predicted model, not a curated record
AAGCUGCCAGCAUUCCCAACUCGAGGAUUGACCCAGGAGAUGAUCCAAAAGCAAGUGAGUGUGAUUUGAAGUUUUGAGUGAGACAUCUCCAGAUCUCAGUGAAAUAUGCUUGACAGUUCUCAGUGCCUUUCGUCUCUGUGAUGGGUUACAUGGACACAGAUCUCUGCAAGGAGAGCACAGAGCUUGGAAAGAGUGUCUUCUUAGGUGCACACAGGUUGGUACUGUUAUGGUGGCCUCUUAACAUGCAUCAUCUCAAGGCACCAGGGCAGUGUGUGCCUGCACCUCCUUCUUCCCCACUCAAGCAGUCAUAUUAACAUGUUUACAGACAUUAUUAAUAAGCUCUGGCUGGAGUUUAUUGGAUGAAUAGCCAGCUCCCAAGAUCUGAGAAUUGAAAUAGCUCAUUGUUUCAUCUCUAGGGACCUCAGAUGAGAAGGUGAUGGACCAUUCCUCUGGGACUUUGGCAUCCUUAUUUCUCACUUUCAGUGACCUGCCAGCCCAUGGAUCAGCUCUGGCCAGAAAGGCAGUUCUGUAAGCAUGGCUGCUAGGCAUCCUCUUCUGUAUCAGGGGCCCUUCACAGGACAAGAGCAAUUUUGGGAGCUAGUAUAUUUUAAGGUUUUCUUAAUUUGUAUAUUUUAUUUGGAAAUAUUUAUAUAGUAUAAACAAGCUGAAUUUCAGAGACAAUGGAUUUAAACAUCAGUUUAUUACAAAAGAGAGCCAUGGAAAAUAUUAACAUGAUGGGCUGGGGAUAUAGUUCAUUGAGGGCCUGGGUUCAAUCCCAGCACCUCCCAUCUAAAAAAAUGUUUACAUAAUGAAAGAUUGCAGAACUUCAGUGAAAACUUGGAGGUUUGUUGAGAUAUAAUUGUCAUAUAAUAGAGUAUGCAUAUUUGAAGGGUUUGAUACCUUUUGGGACUUGUGAUGCAUAUCAAGGAGACCUUCACUGUGAUGAAGACAGUGGACAUAUAUCACAUCUCAGAAGGUUACUGGUGCCCUUUGUACUCUUCCCUCUGUAUACACCAAGCCACUCUCCCUGUCCUGAUCUGCUAUGUUACUAGACAUUAACUUUCAUUUUCUAGAAUUUUACAUAAAUGGGUUGUACAAUGUAUAUUUUUGUAUGAGUUAAAAAAAACUCAGAAUAGCUUGUUUUUAAAUUUUACUUGUAUGUGAGUGUCAGGGCUUCUUGCUAUUGCUAAUGAACACCAGAUGCUUAUGCUACUUUUUUGUAUCUAGUUUAUGUUGUUGGCUUGGGAAUUGAACCUGGGUCUGGAGGCUUUACAAGAAAGUACCUUUAACUGCUGAGUCAUCUUCCCUAGCCCCAUCAGCAUAAUUAUUUUAAGGUUUGUCCAUGUUGUAGUAUGUAUCAGUACUUCAUGUCUUUUCGUGGAUGACUAUAACAUUUGAUUGUAUGAAAUAUAUACUGUUUUCCUAUUUACUUGUUUACAGAUAUUUGGAUUAUUUCUACUUUGCAGUGAUUAUCAAUAAAAUUUUUAUGAGCAUACAUACGCAAA